RNAcentral lists this ribosomal RNA (401 nucleotides) under uncultured Glomeraceae. RNAcentral's name for it is "eukaryotic LSU rRNA". Lineage: Eukaryota; Fungi; Glomeromycota; Glomeromycetes; Glomerales; Glomeraceae. The record is from RNAcentral.
GUGAAAUUGUUGAAAGGGAAACGAUUGAAGUCAGUCGUACCGACGGAAAAUCAGCUCUUCGAGUGCGAACUUGUGGGCGUACGUGAGCUUUAACCGGCCUCGUUGUUUGCGAUGUUUGUGCUUUUUGGGUGUACUUUUUCGUAUGGUUGGCCAACGUCAGUCUCGGUUACCAUAAAAUGAUUGGAGGAAUGUAGCUUCGAUCUUGUAUUGAAGUGUUAUAGCCUCUGGUAGAUGUGGUGAACGAAACUGAGGAUUGCAACGAAUACCCUUCGGGCUAUCCGUCUGACCUCUGAAAGUUGCUUGGGUGCCGAAAGCUUGCUUACGGUCAUCCAUGACGACGGUCAAAAGGUUAGAACGUGAUUACAUUCGUUAAGGACGUUGACGUAAUGGCUUUAAACGAC